This is a non-coding RNA of Theobroma cacao (cacao), 288 nucleotides long. NCBI's taxonomy places the organism in Eukaryota, Viridiplantae, Streptophyta, Magnoliopsida, Malvales, Malvaceae. The record is from RefSeq and is a predicted model, not a curated record.
GGGAAAAUUGGUGGAUUUCAAGUAAUCAAGCAAUCAAAGGUGGUGAGUCCUCCGAUAAGGGCAAGGAAAGUACCCGAGGAUCGAUAGUCGGAGUAUUAUAGAAAUUCAACUCCUGAAAUAGCUGGGCAGUAUUAAAUUAACCCUGUCAUCUAUCAAAAUUUUAUUGUAUGGUGGGUAUUGCUUGUUGUAGUGGGCUGGGUCCUAUGGACUAGCAUAUUAGAGAGGCAUGGAAUUUUGACAUAUUUUACCUCGGUUGGAGAGGCGAAUAGGGUAACUCCCGAGGUAUAA